CCCAAUGUGGAAUUCGCCUUAGAGUUUGUGCUGGCUCAGAACGAACGCUGGCGGCGUGCUUAAUACAUGCAAGUCGAGCGAGAAAGCUCCCCUUCGGGGGGUGAGUAAAGCGGCGAACGGGUGAGUAACACGUGGGCAACCUGCCCUCGGAUUCGGGACAAGCUUCCGAAAGGAGGUCUAAUACCGAAUAUGGUCGUUUGGUGGCAUCGCCGAACGAGCAAAGAUAGCCACUACUGUAAGCUAUCGUCCGGGGAUGGGCCCGCGGCCCAUUAGCUUGUUGGUGAGGUAAAGGCUCACCAAGGCGACGAUGGGUAGCCGGCCUGAGAGGGUGAUCGGCCACACUGGGACUGAGAUACGGCCCAGACUCCUACGGGAGGCAGCAGUAGGGAAUAUUGCGCAAUGGGCGAAAGCCUGACGCAGCAACGCCGCGUGAGCGAUGAAGGUCCUCGGAUCGUAAAGCUCUGUCAGAGGGGACGAACGUUCCGCGUUUAAUAAACGCGGGAUCUGACGGUACCCUCAGAGGAAGCACCGGCCAACUCCGUGCCAGCAGCCGCGGUAAUACGGGGGGGUGCAAGCGUGUUCGGAUUCACUGGGCGUAAAGAGCAUGUAGGCGGUUCGGCCAGUUCCGUGUGUAUUCUCCCGGCUCACCCGGGAAACUGCACGGGAUUCUACUGAUCUUGAGUGCGAGAGAGGAUGGCGAAAUUCCUGGUGUAGCGGUGAAAUGCGUUGAUUUCAGGAGGAACACCGGUGGCGAAGGCGGCCUUCUGGCUCGAACCUGACGCUGAGAUGCGAAGGCCGGGGGAGCAAACAGGAUUAGAUACCCUGGUAGUCCCGGCAGUAAACGUUGGACACUAGGUGUAGGGGGUUCGACCCCUUCUGUGCCGCAGUUAACGCAUUAAGUGUCCCGCCUGGGGAGUACGGCCGCAAGGCUGAAACUCAAAGGAAUUGACGGGGGCCCGCACAAGCGGUGGAGUUUGUGGUUUAAUUCGACGCAACGCGAAGAACCUUACCUGGGUUUGACAUGCACGGGACAGGAGCAGAGACGUUCCCUCCCCGUCGGGGGUCCGUGCACAGGUGCUGCAUGGCUGUCGUCAGCUCGUGCCGUGAGGUGUUGGGUUAAGUCCCGCAACGAGCAAGGGCGAAUUCCACAGUG
Molecule: ribosomal RNA, 1153 nt
Filed under: uncultured bacterium
Lineage: Bacteria
Description: bacterial SSU rRNA
Rfam family: Bacterial small subunit ribosomal RNA
Source: RNAcentral